Molecule: unclassified non-coding RNA, 382 nt
Filed under: uncultured bacterium
Lineage: Bacteria
Description: contains 16S-23S intergenic spacer region
Source: RNAcentral
UCCGGUUUGACACCGGCAGUCUCGCUAGAGUACUGGAUUGCUCCGAGCAACUAACGAUAGGGGUUGCGCUCGUUAGAGGACUUAACCCGACACUUCACAGCACGAGCUGACGACAGCCAUGCAGCACCUGUGAUCGUUCCACCCUUGCGGGUGUGGCCCCACUUUCAUGGGGUUAAUCCGACCAUGUCAAACCCAGGUAAGGUUCUUCGCGUUGCCUCGAAUUAAACCACACGCUCCGCUGCUUGUGCGGGCCCCCGCCUAUUCCUUUGAGUUUUAACCUUGCGGCCGUAGUCCCCAGGCGGUGAACUUAAUGCGUUAGCUGCGGCACUGAUCGGGUCAAUCCGACCAACACCUAGUUCACAACGUUUAGGGCGUGGACUAC